Octopus sinensis (East Asian common octopus) is the source of this 168-nucleotide long non-coding RNA. RefSeq lists it as uncharacterized. The transcript has 3 exons. The record is from RefSeq and is a predicted model, not a curated record. NCBI's taxonomy places the organism in Eukaryota, Metazoa, Mollusca, Cephalopoda, Octopoda, Octopodidae.
AGCAACACUUCAUCCCAUCUUUACAUUCUGAGUUCAAAUUCCUCUGAGAUCGACUUUGCCUUUCAUCCUUUCAGGGUCGAUUAAAUAAAUACCAGUGAAACACUGGGGUUCAAUGUAAUUGAUGACUUCCCUCCCCCACAAAUUUUGGGUGAUGUGGCUAUAGUAGAA